RNAcentral lists this unclassified non-coding RNA (528 nucleotides) under Hevea brasiliensis (rubber tree). Lineage: Eukaryota; Viridiplantae; Streptophyta; Magnoliopsida; Malpighiales; Euphorbiaceae. The record is from RNAcentral.
GCCUUCAAUCCUUUCUUUUUUGGCUCAUUCUUCUCCUCCGGAAUUAAACGGGCAUUAAAAGCUCCAGGCAACGAUUCGAAACGAGACCUAAGCAUUCCUAAUGUUCGAAUCUCUCCAAGACGUCUGAAUGCGCCAUAGACACCUCCAAAUAAUGUGGAAAAUAUGGCAUACCAAAUCUGGGCAUCCAUAAAAUAUACAAGAAUAAUUGGAGCCCAGAGAGCAAUCACAACUCCAAUAUUGUUCCUUGCACGAGGAAAGAACUCAUGCCACUGGAAAGUAGUAACACGAACAUCCAUAACAGCUUUUGUUGGACCAACUAAAGGCCUUAUCUCUACGUAGUAACUAAAUGCCAACUUCGUAACAAUGAGCAGAACCCAAAACACUGUAUACUUGAAGAGAGACAGUGCACUCUCAUGCAUUCCUCGUCCAACAUAGAGCCGUGGCUGUGACCACCACAUCAUGAGCAUCACAAUCUUAUAGUUUGAGCCCUCAAGGAAUCGACGUAUGAAGGGAAAAAGAAACAGUAUU